This 450-nucleotide ribosomal RNA is filed under the name uncultured bacterium. RNAcentral's name for it is "bacterial SSU rRNA". It matches the Rfam family "Bacterial small subunit ribosomal RNA", at positions 43 to 505 of the family's 1533-position model. The record is from RNAcentral.
CAGGCCUAACACAUGCAAGUCGAACGAGAACGGGAUAUAGCUUGCUAUAUUUGUCAGCUAAGUGGCGCACGGGUGAGUAAUGUAUAGGUAAUAUGCCUCUUACUAAGGGAUAACAAUUGGAAACGAUUGCUAAUACCUUAUAUGCCUUUAAGACUAAAGUCUGCAAGGGAAAGAUUUAUUGGUAAGAGAUUAGCCUGUAUUGUAUCAGUUAGUUGGUGGGGUAAUGGCCUACCAAGACAAUGACGCAUAACUGGUUUGAGAGGAUGAUCAGUCACACUGGAACUGAGACACGGUCCAGACUCCUACGGGAGGCAGCAGUGGGGAAUAUUGCACAAUGGGGGAAACCCUGAUGCAGCAACGCCGCGUGGAGGAUGACACAUUUCGGUGCGUAAACUCCUUUUAUAUAGGAAGAUAAUGACGGUACUAUAUGAAUAAGCACCGGCAACUCUG